ACAAAAUGUAACAUUUAUUGACUUUCGGACGUCACAUUUGACCAUCCGUCUUAUUUAAAACUUUUGUGAAUAUAUUAUUUAUUUUGUUAUAAUUUGUUUUAUCGUUAGGUAUACUUCAAGUAUGACUUAUUUGUUUUUAUAUUUCUAUAAAUUUUUUGAAUAAGACGGAUAGUCAAACGUAAUGCGCGGAAACCGAU
RNAcentral lists this microRNA precursor (197 nucleotides) under Leersia perrieri. RNAcentral's name for it is "MIR812 microRNA precursor family". It matches the Rfam family "MIR812 microRNA precursor family". The record is from Rfam by way of RNAcentral. Lineage: Eukaryota; Viridiplantae; Streptophyta; Magnoliopsida; Poales; Poaceae.